AGCUUUUGGGUAUCAUUUUUGGCCCCCAGACAGGACACCUCUGCCUGAUCUCCCGCGGAUCCGAGGGAUCUCUGGAUCUUCACGCCAGCACCAGGACUUUGCUGCAGAAGAGCACAGAUCCCCAGCCCAGUCUGGGACACAGAACCUGUGAAAGGGCAGAAAGAUUGUGGUGUGAAUGCAGCGCCCUCAGAGCCCUUGGUGUGAGCCCGGAAAGGAAAAUCAAGCUGAGGGACAAGAUCAGUCUAAUUUGGGGACAUUGUUGGAGGCUGGAGUUGCAGUUCUGGAAGAAAUCCCUGAGGAAAUGGUGCCCCUGGGGAGAGGAAGAGGACGAGAGCAUGGGCAGCCUGCUUCAAACAUCCCCCCAGGAGACCUGGGAUCAGUCCCUGUGCAUCCUGUAAGAAAGAUGGACACUGGAAAUGGGAUUGUCCGCAACUGAAACUUCAGAACCCUCCGAACCCUCUCGUGGCAUCACUGAAGACGACUGAGGGGGCACCAGAGGAUUCUUCCCCAUCAGAACAUCUGGUUCCAGCCAAGCUAAGCACAAUUGUUUGUGGCUGUGGGAACUUGUUCCUCUGUGUUAAAUCCAGGGAAAUGAAACUCAAGGGACAUUCUAGAACAAUUGUCUGGUGUGCCAGGGAAUUGGGAAACUGGGCCAUUUUUAAUGCUGUGGCUUUGAAACUGGGAAAACAGUGGUCGACUCCCCAGUUUUUGUAUUUCCCCAAUUCCCCAAAGCCUCUGCUUGGGAGAGAUCUCUUGGCAAAAUGAAAUGCCACAAUCCCAUUGAAAAAUGGUCCAAUAUAGGUUAUUAUUGCAGAGCCUAAUUCUGGGGAAGUUUCUAGUUUUGCAUGAGAGUCUCCAGAAGCAGAAGUAAUCCAUCUGCCACCAUCACUUGGGGAUGCAGUGGUUCCAACAGGAUGGGCUGGAGAGGUGCCUCCAUGAUCCAAGAGAGCAGAACCCGUGAGAAUUCCAGAGAAACCUGGAGUGGGGUUGGUGAGGCCAAAGCAAUGUCCUUUGCAAAUAGAAAGUUGUAAGGGAUUCUCACCCUUUGUAGAACAAUUGAUGAAAUUUUGCUUGUGAAAAGAAUGUGAAUCUAAAUGGAAUGCUCCAGUUUUGCCAGUCAAGCAGGCAAAUGGAAGGCUAUGCCAGUUAGUCCAAGACCUUAGAGCUGUAAAGAACAGAGUAGAAGAUAUACAAGCAGUCGUAGCGAGUCCUUACACUUUGCUCACUCCCCUAAAUGAGAGUUUAAUAUGUUUCACAGGAUUAGGUUUGAAAGCUGCCUUUUUGUGUCUCCCUUUGAGUUGGGAAAGUCAAGAGCUUUUUGCUUUCCAAUGGGAAAAUGCAAAGCUGGGGAGGAAAACCCAUCUGACUUUGGUGGUCCUCUUGCAGGGGUUUAAAAAUAGCCCCCCAAUAUUUGGAACUCAAUUGGCAAAGGGACUGGAGGAAUGGAGAAGUCCAAACCCACCCUCUUGGAGCCUUAUUGCAGGGUGUGGAUGAUCUUUUGAUAGCCACUGAUGCUGAGCAGCAACGUUGGGGUCAGACUGUGGCCCUGUGGAAUUUCCUUGGGCUGAGUGGAUAUGGGGUAUCCCAAACACAAAGUGCAAGUAGUCCAGAGCCCAGGAGCCUCCGUGGGCUUUGGAAUUCUCCAAGGACAAGGGAGGCUGGGCCAGGAAGGAAAAAAGCAACCUGUCAACUGCCCCAGCCCCAGCAAAGGAAGCCCAGAGCGGGAUUGCUUCCAGACUAGAGGGAAAGUGUAUUGGGGCAGAGCUGACUUAGGAGACAGCCCCUUGGAAAGUCCUGGUUGGGAUUGUUUCCCAGGGGGGGCAGCUUUGUCCGGCAUGGAAAACAAUUCUCUGGAUGCACAGAACUCCCCCCCACCAGGUCAGAGAUCCUGACAGAGAUCCUUCUCCCAGUAGAAGAAAAUGAGUCUAGUGCUAAGGAUUGUCAACUCCUUGAAACCUUAGAGCAAACUUUGCUCCAGGAGGCUGGGCAGUUCCCCCAAGUGGGCAAAUAAUAGUCCCUGAGCCAAUCUCCUGUGACCUGGUGGAUGGGGAACAUGAGGGUAUUCCUUGGAGUGAAGCAAAUUAUUGAAACAUUUGCCCAAGUGGGUUCUUGGUCCAAAACUGACCCCAGUUGUACAAGCAGUGAGUCAGCAGUGUGGUGUGUGGAAGAGAAAUAAUCCAAACCCUGCCAGUGGAGUGGGAACAGGUGAUGGAAAAUGCAGAAAUGCUGCAGGUGAAUGUUGGCAGAUGGAUGUGACUGAAUUGCCCAGAAAAGUGGGGUGUAAAGGUCUCCUAGUCUUGGGGGAUACCUUCUCUGGGUGGCCAGAGGCUGUUUCUUGUUGCACUAAGCAGGUUGGGAAAGAAACUGCAAUCCUGUUCAGUGCAAUCCUCCCUGUAUUUGGGAUGCCUUUGGGAAUGUCAUCAGACAGAGGUUCCCACUUGACUGCAGAAACAAAAUGCUUCACUCUUGUUUUGCUCUUCUGACAACAGUUCAAACACUGUUGACGUGGGAGGAAAAUUUACAUGUCUUUUUAGUGCCAAAGGUGAUCCAAGUGUUGCCCACAAGUGUCUGUAUUAAGUAAGCAAGACUCUGUAAUGAAUCUGGAAACUGUGUGUGUAAUGUAAAGCCCUGUGUGGCUGUCACUGAGGUGCUGAGGCUGAACAACAGCCCCUGAGCCAAAGCUGAGCUCUAGAUGAACCUUCCAACCUAAUGGGCUGUGUCUCCAUGUAUCUGCUCCUGAGCUAAAACUGGGUCUAUUUGUUGGUACAAAUGUGGUGGGAUGGGACUCCACCUGUGUAUCUGCUCCUGAACCAAACAGGUGUGCUUCUUAGGAAGAUCUGUUAGUCUGGGCUCAUCAGUGAAUCCUGUUUGUAUCUGUUCCUUAACAAAAUAGGUCUGAUUGUGAGCAAAAUCUGAUCUUUCUGUAUCUAGAGAGUGGUGGAGGCCAUGGCAGUCGAUGUCUGUCCUUGUUUGGCAGUGGCUGGUGCAGGGGGAGCCUUGGUUUGGGAGAAGUAGAACAUUGCUGCCAAGAUUCUGCUCUGGCCAAAUAAGGAACAGUAGAAUCUUAGAGAAGUCCUGGAGAAUUGGAUCAGGGCUGGAACUCAAGCAAACAGGAUGUGAGCUGAGCUCUGGGGACCCAGAGAAGAUCAAACCAAACAUGACGGUCUCUGGGGGGAAAACCAGUGAUGCUGAGAACCGAGGUCAAGAAGCAGACACCUGAGCUUUGGGGGGCACCAGAUGCCAAAAAACCCACCAGAGACCCCCAGAGAAGACCCCAAAUGACCAAAUAGGGACUUGCAAUAGGGGUGUGACUGUGUAAAGCACAGUAAUGGACAUGUGUUCAGUAAGGGGGAAUAUCCAAUGCCUCUGGAAUCAGUGGGUGUAAUCCCAAGCCCUGCCUGUGUCCCUGAGCAGGCUGGAUUAGAAGAACUCUCCUGCAGGCGUCCAGCACGCUGCCCUAAAGAAUGCCUGCUUCUUAACACCUCCCAGCUGGGGUUAAGGACUUGCUUUCUGCUGCUUUUGGAGACCAUUUCUGGCCCCAGAUGGGACCCUCUGCCUGAUCUCCCGUGGAUCCGAGGGAUCUCUGGAUCUUCACGCCGGCCUCAGGACUUUCCUGGAGAAGACCACAGAUCCCUGGACUGGUCUGGGAUGGGGGAAGAUCCCACUGGAUAAUAAGGCAUUCUUUUGGGGAAUCCUGUCCCUCUAAGACGUGUGGAUCUUCCAGCUCUUUGGGUGGGUUAUUUGGUGUCCCCCCAUUUGGUCUCUGGCUUUGUUUUCUCCACUGAUCCUUGUUUUGUGUUUGUAUUUGUUUCUGCACUGUAACAUUUGCCCAAGUGGGUUCUUGGUCCAAAACUGACCCCAGUUGUACAA
Molecule: long non-coding RNA, 3870 nt
Organism: Pseudopipra pipra
Lineage: Eukaryota; Metazoa; Chordata; Aves; Passeriformes; Pipridae
Exons: 2
Source: RefSeq, a predicted model, not a curated record